RNAcentral lists this ribosomal RNA (520 nucleotides) under uncultured Paraglomus. RNAcentral's name for it is "SSU rRNA". It matches the Rfam family "Eukaryotic small subunit ribosomal RNA", at positions 569 to 1094 of the family's 1831-position model. The record is from RNAcentral. Lineage: Eukaryota; Fungi; Glomeromycota; Glomeromycetes; Paraglomerales; Paraglomeraceae.
AGCAGCCGCGGUAAUUCCAGCUCCAAUAGCGUAUAUUAAAGUUGUUGCAGUUAAAAAGCUCGUAGUUGAAUUUCAGGCCUGGCUGGGCGGUCCGCCUUUUGGGUGAGUACUGCCUGUGGUCGGGUCCUACCUUCUGGCGAAGCGUCAUGGCCUUAACCGGCCGUGGCGGGGAACCAGGACUUUUACUGUGAAAAAAUUAGAGUGUUCAAAGCAGGCAGUCGCUUGAAUACAUUAGCAUGGAAUAAUGGAAUAGGACAGUGGUUCUAUUUGUUGGUUUCUAGGACCGUUGUAAUGAUUAAUAGGGAUAGUUGGGGGCAUUAGUAUUCAAUUGUCAGAGGUGAAAUUCUUGGAUUUAUUGAAGACUAACUACUGCGAAAGCAUUUGCCAAGGAUGUUUUAUUAAUCAAGAACGAAAGUUAGGGGAUCGAAGACGAUCAGAUACCGUCGUAGUCUUAACCAUAAACUAUGCCGACUAGGAAUCGGGCGAUGUUGACAAAAUGACGCGCUCGGCACCUCAUGGG